This 933-nucleotide ribosomal RNA is filed under the name fungal sp. Its description in RNAcentral is "eukaryotic LSU rRNA". The stretch from base 403 to 933 matches the Rfam family "Eukaryotic large subunit ribosomal RNA", at positions 1 to 536 of the family's 3401-position model. The record is from RNAcentral. Lineage: Eukaryota; Fungi.
UUGCUUUGGCGGCUCCGGCCGCCAAAGGACCUUCAAACUCCAGUCAGUAAACGCAGACGUCUGAUAAACAAGUUAAUAAACUAAAACUUUCAACAACGGAUCUCUUGGUUCUGGCAUCGAUGAAGAACGCAGCGAAAUGCGAUAAGUAAUGUGAAUUGCAGAAUUCAGUGAAUCAUCGAAUCUUUGAACGCACAUUGCGCCCCUUGGUAUUCCGGGGGGCAUGCCUGUUCGAGCGUCAUUACAACCCUCAAGCUCUGCUUGGAAUUGGGCACCGUCCUCACUGCGGACGCGCCUCAAAGACCUCGGCGGUGGCUGUUCAGCCCUCAAGCGUAGUAGAAUACACCUCGCUUUGGAGCGGUUGGCGUCGCCCGCCGGACGAACCUUCUGAACUUUUCUCAAGGUUGACCUCGGAUCAGGUAGGGAUACCCGCUGAACUUAAGCAUAUCAAUAAGCGGAGGAAAAGAAACCAACAGGGAUUGCCUUAGUAACGGCGAGUGAAGCGGCAACAGCUCAAAUUUGAAAGCUGGCCCUUUUAGGGUCCGCAUUGUAAUUUGUAGAGGAUGAUUCGGCGAGGGCUCCUGCCUAAGUCCCCUGGAACGGGGCGUCAUAGAGGGUGAGAAUCCCGUAUGCGGUAGGUUGCCUUAGCCAUGUGAAUCUCCUUCGACGAGUCGAGUUGUUUGGGAAUGCAGCUCUAAAUGGGAGGUAAAUUUCUUCUAAAGCUAAAUACCGGCCAGAGACCGAUAGCGCACAAGUAGAGUGAUCGAAAGAUGAAAAGCACUUUGGAAAGAGAGUUAAAAAGUACGUGAAAUUGUUGAAAGGGAAGCGCUUGCAACCAGACUUGUCCGCAGUUGCUCAGCCGGUCUCCUGACCGGCGUACUCUUCUGCGGCCAGGCCAGCAUCAGUUCGGGCGGUCGGAUAAAGGCCUCGGGAAUG